ACGCUAGCGGCAGGCCUAAUACAUGCAAGUCGAACGGGAUUUGGGAGCUUGCUCCUGAUGAGAGUGGCGCACGGGUGCGUAACACGUAUGUAACCUACCUUGAUCUGGGGGAUAGCCUCUCGAAAGAGAGAUUAACACCGCAUAACAUUAUCGGAUAGCAUUUUCUGAUAAUCAAAUAUUUAUAGGAUCAAGAUGGGCAUGCGGAACAUUAGCUAGUUGGUAAGGUAAUGGCUUACCAAGGCUACGAUGUUUAGGGGAUCUGAGAGGAUGACCCCCCACACUGGUACUGAGACACGGACCAGACUCCUACGGGAGGCAGCAGUAAGGAAUAUUGGUCAAUGGGCGCAAGCCUGAACCAGCCAUGCCGCGUGCAGGAAGACGGCCCUACGGGUUGUAAACUGCUUUUGUACCGGAAUAAACCCUGAUAUGUAUAUCAGGCUGGAUGUACGGUAAGAAUAAGGAUCGGCUAACUCCGUGCCAGCAGCCGCGGUAAUACGGAGGAUCCAAGCGUUAUCCGGAUUUAUUGGGUUUAAAGGGUGCGUAGGCGGCCUAUUAAGUCAGGGGGUGAAAGACGGUAGCUUAACUAUCGCAGUGCCUUUGAUACUGAUAGGCUUGAAUACACUUGAGGUAGGCGGAAUGUGACAAGUAGCGGUGAAAUGCAUAGAUAUGUCACAGAACACCAAUUGCGAAGGCAGCUUACUAAAGUGAGAUUGACGCUGAGGCACGAAAGCGUGGGGAUCAAAC
Molecule: ribosomal RNA, 744 nt
Filed under: uncultured bacterium
Lineage: Bacteria
Description: bacterial SSU rRNA
Rfam family: Bacterial small subunit ribosomal RNA
Source: RNAcentral